GAGGUUGUAGGGUGACGGCGCGGACGCCAUUUUGUCGGUGUUUGUCGCAGCGGCUGGAGAGAAACGACGGCGGUUUGGCGACAUUUCUCGGCCAAAAGGCCUUUUGCUUUUGCGGAGAUGCGGCAUUCCAAACGAACUCACUGUCCUGAUUGGGAUAGCAGAGAAAGCUGGGGCCAUGAAAGCUACAGUGGAAGUCACAAACGGAAGAGGAGAUCUCAUAGCAGUACGCAGGAGAAUAGGCAUUGUAAACCACAUCAUCAGUUUAAAGACACUGAUUGAUGUUCCAUUGGGGCUGUUUACCAGAUUGCUUUCUAAAUUAGCCAGCUGGGGUUACUUUAAAAACAUCACUAUUUAGAAGCAAGAUGCUUGAAUGAGAGAGAUUAUCGGGAUCGGAGAUACAUUGAUGAAUACAGAAAUGACUACUGUGAAGGAUAUGUUCCAAGACAUUACCAUAGAGACAUUGAAAGCACUUACCGGAUCCAUUGCAGUAAAUCCUCAGUCAGAAGCAGGAGAAGCAGCCCUAAAAGAAAACGUAACAGACACUGUGCGAGUCAUCAGUCACAUUCGAAGAGCCACCGAAGGAAAAGAUCCAGGAGUAUAGAGGAUGAUGAGGAGGGUCACCUGAUCUGUCAAAGUGGAGACGUUCUAAGAGCAAGAU
This 658-nucleotide long non-coding RNA is filed under the name Rattus norvegicus (Norway rat). RNAcentral's name for it is "long non-coding RNA NONRATT004231". Lineage: Eukaryota; Metazoa; Chordata; Mammalia; Rodentia; Muridae. The record is from RNAcentral.